This 23-nucleotide ribosomal RNA is filed under the name Cylindrocladiella peruviana. Its description in RNAcentral is "partial 28S ribosomal RNA". Lineage: Eukaryota; Fungi; Ascomycota; Sordariomycetes; Hypocreales; Nectriaceae. The record is from RNAcentral.
UUUGACCUCGAAUCAGGUAGGAU